Xenia sp. Carnegie-2017 is the source of this 1092-nucleotide long non-coding RNA. RefSeq lists it as uncharacterized. The transcript is spliced from 4 exons. The record is from RefSeq and is a predicted model, not a curated record. Lineage: Eukaryota; Metazoa; Cnidaria; Anthozoa; Malacalcyonacea; Xeniidae.
ACCAAUGGUAAUUACCUAUAAGCUGUGACAAACCACUAAAAUAUAGAAUAACCAUUGAGAAUAACAAGUUUCAUAUGCGUAUUUAACCGAUAUGCGGCUAAAUGACGAGAAGAAUUCUUUUUUCGAUUUCAGGUUUGCAUUGCAUUCUCAAUGUGGGGAAACAUCUCGAUUUUUUGUUCUUCAAAGCAUUUGACCAGAUGCACUUGCAUCUUCUUCUGCAGCCAGGUAACAGAGCAAGGGUUAACAGCAUUUGCCACAACAAAAAGACCACAAUCUGAUGAUCCUUUUUGAUGUUGUUGGAGAAUCACUUUGACGUUUAAAGAACCAUCCUGUUCUUGAAGGUUUUUGUAAACAUUCUGGAGUUGCCUUUUUAAUGAUGAAUUCAGAUUCCAUCCGUUGAAUAAUAUGAGAAACAACAUACUUUGGUCUAUUGUGCAGGAACUUUGGGAUUUGUUUGCUGUAGGACUUGUACGAAUCGGAUGAUUUGAUAUUCUGUUCCUUAUAUCUAUAAAGAGAAAAUUGUUUCCACAGUGGAUUCUCUUGACUGAUGAUGUUCAGGACUUCUGAUAUGGAAUCCAUGUCCUAAUUUUGGGAUAUGAAGACAGCAACAACGAUGUAACAAACAUUUGAUCGGACACAUAAGAAAAACAACGGUAGUGCGUACCUCAAAAGACGCGAAUUGGAAAACUUUAAAACAUUAACUUUCCAAGUGACAACAAUUGGAAACUCUAUUUUCGAACUAGCAUUUGGCAACAAUUCCAUGAUGAUUUCCCGCGCUUUUUAUGUUUAGAUUCUCAUAGAAUAUAUGUAUGGCAAGUUUCAAUUUUACAAUGUAGGAAAAUGUGAAUUUUUUGUUGCUCGAAAAACAUUUAGCCAAAUGCAUUGUAUCUUCUCAUAUGACCAUAAAAUCAAGAAAUGGUGCAUUCAAUGCUGUUAGGGAGGUGGGUGCAUGGAAAUCAAGCAUUCUUCAUGAAAUUAUGGAUAGUCAUUGCAGAGCACAGAGCACCCCAACCUGACAAAGAUUUUUAGUUUACAAAAUUGAUAAAGAAACUUGUUCAUGUUAAGUGGUAAUAUUAUUUGCAAACACUAUGA